RNAcentral lists this transfer RNA (73 nucleotides) under Virgibacillus profundi. RNAcentral's name for it is "tRNA-Thr". It matches the Rfam family "tRNA". Rfam says of the family: Transfer RNA (tRNA) molecules are approximately 80 nucleotides in length. Their secondary structure includes four short double-helical elements and three loops (D, anti-codon, and T loops). The record is from RNAcentral. Lineage: Bacteria; Bacillati; Bacillota; Bacilli; Caryophanales; Bacillaceae. RNAcentral also lists the same sequence under 1 other name.
GCUUCCAUAGCUCAGCAGGUAGAGCACUUCCAUGGUAAGGAAGGGGUCGUCCGUUCGAAUCGGAUUGGAAGCU